Molecule: ribosomal RNA, 497 nt
Filed under: uncultured bacterium
Lineage: Bacteria
Description: partial 16S ribosomal RNA
Rfam family: Bacterial small subunit ribosomal RNA
Source: RNAcentral
GACGAACGCUGGCGGCGUGCCUAAUACAUGCAAGUUGAGCGCUGAAGGUUGGUACUUGUACCAACUGGAUGAGCAGCGAACGGGUGAGUAACGCGUGGGGAAUCUGCCUUUGAGCGGGGGACAACAUUUGGAAACGAAUGCUAAUACCGCAUAAAAACUUUAAACACAAGUUUUAAGUUUGAAAGAUGCAAUUGCAUCACUCAAAGAUGAUCCCGCGUUGUAUUAGCUAGUUGGUGAGGUAAAGGCUCACCAAGGCGAUGAUACAUAGCCGACCUGAGAGGGUGAUCGGCCACAUUGGGACUGAGACACGGCCCAAACGCCUACGGGAGGCAGCAGUAGGGAAUCUUCGGCAAUAGACGAAAGUCUGACCGAGCAACGCCGCGUGAGUGAAGAAGGUUUUCGGAUCGUAAAACUCUGUUGGUAGAGAAGAACGUUGGUGAGAGUGGAAAGCUCAUCAAGUGACGGUAACUACCCAGAAAGGGACGGCUAACUACGUG